This 28-nucleotide small RNA is filed under the name Bombyx mori (domestic silkworm). RNAcentral describes it as "ovarian small RNA-18078". Lineage: Eukaryota; Metazoa; Arthropoda; Insecta; Lepidoptera; Bombycidae. The record is from RNAcentral.
UAAAAUGUAUGUUCAUGACGAUGGUGAA